Pangasianodon gigas (Mekong giant catfish) is the source of this 75-nucleotide non-coding RNA. Lineage: Eukaryota; Metazoa; Chordata; Actinopteri; Siluriformes; Pangasiidae. The record is from the annotation of a GenBank genome assembly.
GCACUGAUCAAGCUGAAUGGAUAAGGCACUGGCCUCCUAAGCCAGGGAUCGUGGGUUCGAUUACCAUCUGGGGUG